RNAcentral lists this long non-coding RNA (650 nucleotides) under Haliotis rubra (blacklip abalone). RNAcentral's name for it is "uncharacterized LOC124279738, transcript variant X5". The record is from RNAcentral. Lineage: Eukaryota; Metazoa; Mollusca; Gastropoda; Lepetellida; Haliotidae.
UUUGUGUAGUUGUAGCCGGCACUUAUUUCUCUAAUAGCUCAAUUUCCAAGAAUACAGCCACGGGGUACUGUAGCUCAACUGGCUAGAAUACAGCCACGAGGUACUGUAGCUCAACUGGCUAGAACACAGCCACGAGGUACUGUAGCUCAACUGGCUAGAACACAGCCACGAGGUACUGUAGCUCAACUGGCUAGAAUAUUGCCACGAGGUACUGUAGCUCAACUGGCUAGAAUAUUGCCGCGAGGUACUGUAGCUCAACUGGCUAGAAUAUUGCCACGAGGUACUGUAGCUCAACUGGCACCAAUAUUGCCACGAGGUACUGUAGCUCAACUGGCUACAAUAUUGCCACGAGGUACUGUAGCUCAACUGGCUGAAUAUUGCUACGAGGUACUGUAGCUCAACUGGCUACAAUAUUGCCACGAGGUACUGUAGCUCAACUGGCUACAAUAUUGCCACGAGGUACUGUAGCUCAACUGGCAACAAUAUUGCCGCAGGUACUGUAGCUCAACUGGCUACAACACAGCCACGAGGUACUGUAGCUCAACUGGCUACAAUAUUGCCACGAGGUACUGUAGCUCAACUGGCUACAAUAUUGCCACGAGGUGCUGUUGUUCAAAUGUUGACCACGAGGUAAAGCAGCUCAACUGGCU